AUUGAACGCUGGCGGCAUGCUUUACACAUGCAAGUCGAACGGCAGCGCGGGGCAACCUGGCGGCGAGUGGAGAACGGGUGAGUAAUAUAUCGGAACGUACCCAGAAGUGGGGGAUAACGUAGCGAAAGUUACGCUAAUACCGCAUACGAUCUACGGAUGAAAGUAGGGGACCGCAAGGCCUUAUGCUUUUGGAGCGGCCGAUAUCUGAUUAGCUAGUUGGUGAGGUAAAGGCUCACCAAGGCGACGAUCAGUAGCUGGUCUGAGAGGACGACCAGCCACACUGGAACUGAGACACGGUCCAGACUCCUACGGGAGGCAGCAGUGGGGAAUUUUGGACAAUGGGCGCAAGCCUGAUCCAGCAAUGCCGCGUGAGUGAAGAAGGCCUUCGGGUUGUAAAGCUCUUUUGUCAGGGAAGAAACGGUAGAGGCUAAUAUCCUUUGCUAAUGACGGUACCUGAAGAAUAAGCACCGGCUAACUACGUG
This 482-nucleotide ribosomal RNA is filed under the name uncultured bacterium. RNAcentral describes it as "partial 16S ribosomal RNA". It matches the Rfam family "Bacterial small subunit ribosomal RNA", at positions 30 to 507 of the family's 1533-position model. The record is from RNAcentral.